RNAcentral lists this ribosomal RNA (433 nucleotides) under uncultured bacterium. RNAcentral's name for it is "partial 16S ribosomal RNA". It matches the Rfam family "Bacterial small subunit ribosomal RNA", at positions 29 to 507 of the family's 1533-position model. The record is from RNAcentral.
AACGAACGCUGGCGGCAUGCCUAACACAUGCAAGUCGAACGAGACCUUCGGGUCUAGUGGCGCACGGGUGCGUAACGCGUGGGAACCUGCCCUUAGGUUCGGAAUAACUCCCCGAAAGGGGUGCUAAUACCGGUUAAUCUCUUCGGACCAAAGAUUUAUCGCCUUUGGAUGGGCCCGCGUUGGAUUAGCUAGUUGGUAGGGUAAAAGCCUACCAAGGCGAGGAUCCAUAGCUGGUCUGAGAGGAUGAUCAACCACACUGGGACUGAGACACGGCCCAGACUCCUACGGGAGGGAGCAGUGGGGAAUAUUGGACAAGGGGCGAAAGCCUGAUCCAGCAAUGCCGGGUGAGAGAUGAAGGCCGUAGGGUUGUAAAGCUGUUUUAGACGGGAUGUUAAUGACAGUACCGGGAGAAUAAGCACCGGCUAACUCCGUG